CGGCCUUCCGCAUUGGUCGCGGUGACUCUGGAUAACUGUCAGUACGAUCGCACGGGCUAGUAUCGCACUAGCCUUCGCGCGACGGGUCCCCCGCGAGUCCGCCCUAUCAACUGUCGACGGCCCGGUCAGUGCCGACCGUGGUGGCCGACAGUGCCGUCGCAGGCGCGCUUCUGGCGCGUCCGCUUCGGUCGUCCGUUCGCACUCCCGGCCCUAUUCGCUGGUGCGUGCGCGGUCGGGCCGCGGAGCUCUGCUCGCGUCGCCGCCGCGACUCGGCACCCCGUCCAGCGCUCGUCUUCGUCCGCGCCGCGUCGUCUACGUCGGACGGUCGCGUUCGACGUCGGGGUGUCGCGCGCGUUUGCAACGAUGAAAAACCGCCACUUCCGUAGUUUCCUCGCUCACUCGAUGGAGAAGGGAUCGGGCCGUCGCCGAGCGGUG
Long non-coding RNA from Octopus sinensis (East Asian common octopus), 435 nucleotides. RefSeq lists it as uncharacterized. The record is from RefSeq and is a predicted model, not a curated record. NCBI's taxonomy places the organism in Eukaryota, Metazoa, Mollusca, Cephalopoda, Octopoda, Octopodidae. The transcript has 3 exons.